Long non-coding RNA from Mastomys coucha (southern multimammate mouse), 459 nucleotides. RefSeq lists it as uncharacterized. The transcript is spliced from 2 exons. The record is from RefSeq and is a predicted model, not a curated record. NCBI's taxonomy places the organism in Eukaryota, Metazoa, Chordata, Mammalia, Rodentia, Muridae.
AUUCCUCAACCAAGCUCCAAGUGAAAUACAUGGCAGUAUUGGGACAGAGUUCCAGGAGAUGCCUUCUCAUCUUAUCUGUUUGCUUAGAAAAGUAAUGAAGAAUUGAUUCCUUCAUUUGUGUCCUGCCUUGUCAGCAAGAAAAUAAUAAAUGCCUCAGGUGUGGGCGGUCAUUUCAAUUGUCCAACUAUCUAAACACCCUUUAAGAAAUGACCUUUACCAAGAUGAAUGUGCUAAGUAGAAAACCUGUUCCCGAAAGAAAAAGAACACAGACACAGUACCCCUCUCCCUCAUUUGUUUUGUUUUGUUUUUUUUGAAGAAACCUGGUUCUUUUCCAGGAAACUUACUCUCUCUCCCCUCCCCCGCCCUCCUCUCCCUUCCCCUCUCCACACUAUGCGAAGCGGCCAUGCUAUUCAGUGAUUAUUUUCAAAAGCAAAUAAUAAAUGUAACAACUGUUCUAGA